UUGCCCUAGUAACGGCGAGUGAAGCGGCAACAGCUCAAAUUUGAAAGCUAGCCUUCGGGUUCGCAUUGUAAUUUGUAGAGGAUGAUUUGGGGAAGCCGCCUGUCUAAGUUCCUUGGAACAGGACGUCAUAGAGGGUGAGAAUCCCGUAUGUGACAGGAAAUGGCACCCUAUGUAAAUCUCCUUCGACGAGUCGAGUUGUUUGGGAAUGCAGCUCUAAAUGGGAGGUAAAUUUCUUCUAAAGCUAAAUAUUGGCGAGAGACCGAUAGCGCACAAGUAGAGUGAUCGAAAGAUGAAAAGCACUUUGGAAAGAGAGUUAAAAAGCACGUGAAAUUGUUGAAAGGGAAGCGCUUGCAAUCAGACUUGUUUAAACUGUUCGGCCGGUCUUCUGACCGGUUUACUCAGUUUGGACAGGCCAGCAUCAGUUUCGGCGGCCGGAUAAAGGCUCUGGGAAUGUGGCCUCCACUUCGGUGGAGGUGUUAUAGCCCAGGGUGUAAUACGGCCAGCCGGGACUGAGGUCCGCGCUUCGGCUAGGAUGCU
RNAcentral lists this ribosomal RNA (537 nucleotides) under Aureobasidium proteae. Its description in RNAcentral is "eukaryotic LSU rRNA". It matches the Rfam family "Eukaryotic large subunit ribosomal RNA", at positions 75 to 627 of the family's 3401-position model. Lineage: Eukaryota; Fungi; Ascomycota; Dothideomycetes; Dothideales; Saccotheciaceae. The record is from RNAcentral.